CACAGAAGCAUGCCGCAGCCAUAC
RNAcentral lists this microRNA (24 nucleotides) under Ananas comosus (pineapple). RNAcentral's name for it is "microRNA s0115_c051". The record is from RNAcentral. Lineage: Eukaryota; Viridiplantae; Streptophyta; Magnoliopsida; Poales; Bromeliaceae.